GCCAGCCCGCUCAGAACUCAAAGGAAUGACGGGGCCCGCACAAGCGGUGGAGUAUGUGGUUUAAUUCGAUGCAACGCGAAGAACCUUACCUGGUCUUGACAUCCCGGAGACCCUUAGGAAACUAGGGGGUGCUUCCAUCUGGAAGAAUCUGGAGACAGGUGCUGCAUGGCUGUCGUCAGCUCGUGUCGUGAGAUGUUGGGUUAAGUCCCGCAACGAGCGCAACCCUUGCCUUUAGUUGCCAGCAGUUCGGCUGGGCACUCUAAAGGGACUGCCGGUGUUAAACCGGAGGAAGGUGGGGAUGACGUCAAGUCCUCAUGGCCUUUAUGACCAGGGCUACACACGUACUACAAUGGCCGAUACAAAGGGCAGCGACACUGCGAGGUGAAGCCAAUCCCGUAAAAUCGGUCUCAGUCCGGAUUGGAGUCUGCAACUCGACUCCAUGAAGUUGGAAUCGCUAGUAAUCGUGGAUCAGCAUGCCACGGUGAAUACGUUCCCGGGCCUU
RNAcentral lists this ribosomal RNA (502 nucleotides) under uncultured Desulfobulbus sp. RNAcentral describes it as "bacterial SSU rRNA". It matches the Rfam family "Bacterial small subunit ribosomal RNA", at positions 882 to 1382 of the family's 1533-position model. The record is from RNAcentral. Lineage: Bacteria; Pseudomonadati; Thermodesulfobacteriota; Desulfobulbia; Desulfobulbales; Desulfobulbaceae.